RNAcentral lists this ribosomal RNA (409 nucleotides) under uncultured bacterium. Its description in RNAcentral is "bacterial SSU rRNA". It matches the Rfam family "Bacterial small subunit ribosomal RNA", at positions 509 to 916 of the family's 1533-position model. The record is from RNAcentral.
CAGCAGCCGCGGUAAUUCGGAGGGCGCGAGCGUUGUUCGGAAUUACUGGGCGUAAAGCGCGUGUAGGCGGCCAGGUAAGUCGGAUGUGAAAGCCCGGGGCCCAACCCCGGAACUGCACCCGAUACUGCCCGGCUGGAGUCCCGGAGAGGAUGGCGGAAUUUCCGGUGUAGAGGUGAAAUUCGUAGAUAUCGGAAGGAACACCAGUGGCGAAGGCGGCCAUCUGGACGGUGACUGACGCUGAGACGCGAAUGCGUGGGGAGCAAACAGGAUUAGAUACCCUGGUAGUCCACGCUGUAAACGUUGGGUGCUAGACGUCGGGGGUAUUGACCCCUCCGGUGUCGAAGCUAACGCAUUAAGCACCCCGCCUGGGGAGUACGGCCGCAAGGCUAAAACUUAAAGGAAUUGACGG